AAAAACAACCAAAUGACCAAAUUUUCCAAUGAUAUGGUGUCUGGGACCUUGAUUUUUGUAUUUAUAUAUUUAUAUAUUGUUAAUUUAUUAUUAUGUAAUUUCAAAUCCAUUUCUUUGAAGUUUAUUAUUUUUUUUCAUUGGGUUUUUUGUGACUACACUUUAUGUAGGACAUGAAACCACAAAGGACCAAUAAUAAAAACUUAUGGUUGUGAUUUAAAUGAACUAUUCCUUACAUUGGAAUUGGCCACAUAUAUUUCAGUUGCAGAUCAAGGAUUUUUUAAUACUAUAUAAAUUUGUUAAACAUUAUAGUAGAACUAGAAUUUUAUGGGGAUAAUUUUGCACUCAAAAAUGAUUUAUUUUCCAAUCAAAAAAGGGGAAUACACCCUCUUAGCUCUCCUGCAUCCACCACCGUAUUAGUUAUUUUGGUUUAAUGGAAACCAACUAAUUUUCAUGAGCAAUUUAUUUAUGAGUGUAGAAAAUAAUAUGAUUUGAAAUUGUUGCGAAUAUGUAUAACUUUCCUUAUUUAACUACCAAGUAUCAAGUAAAUUUGAAAAUCAGGAAAUUAUAUCACUAUUAAGUGGACUAGAAAAAGCUAAACGUGAAAAUAAGUAUCUGCAAAAAAUGAGUUUUGUUAUAUAUUUUGCUCUGUAAACAUUAACAGAUAUAUUUCAAAGGGAGAUUAUUCAUUGUUUUUAGUGAAGUGUAUUUUUAAAAAAUAUAUAAUUUUCUGAUCGUCUAAAGUAUUGCUCAUUUUUUUUAGCAACAGUCAAAAGUAUCUUUAUCAAUUUCAAAUUGGUAAUGAUACUUUUGACUGUUGCUAAAAUGUGAACAAUACUUUCUUCUGAAAGUCUCCAAGUUUUAAAAACUGCCCAGUCAAUAAAUGUAUUAUAAUAUAUACCUUUUGUACUUAUGGUUUAUUUUUAUAUAUACAUUGUUCCUGCGUUAUAUUUGUAUUUUAGUAAUUUUAUUUUUACUUUGAAUUUUAAUACAAUAGCCUAAUCUGAAUUAUCUGUGUACAUGGAAGCUUUUUAUAAAUAUAUAUACUAAUAGAUGGAGAUUUGUAUAAUUAAAGUUGGUGGUUGGGCUAUGAACAUAUAAAAACUUAAAUUUCACAAUGAGUGAAAAAUAAUAUUUUUAUCUUGUACAUGGAGCAAAAUGACUGCAUAAAAAUGAUAAAAUAUGUAAACAUUUUAAAUUUCUUUGCAUUGUACAGAAAAUAAAUAAUCAUCUUUAAUUCAAAAUAUGUCCAUACAAAAUCCUAUAGUCUCUGAUGACUGGUUACUUUGAUUUCUGGCUUCAAAUCAUUGAAUUAUGGAUCCAGUGUUCUGUUUUCACUUACAGGAAUUUGACAACACUCCUUUCUACCUUCUGUCCUGGAAUCAACAGCCUUCACAUUUUUGAAGCUUUGUUUCAACAGGACAAAACCAGAGGAUCCAAAAAAGUUUUCUUAACAGAACGUAGAAAAGAGCAACAUAUAUUCUUGUAAGCAAAGCAUUCACACAGGAUAGACAUUUCAAUCUGAUUGUUUAAACUAAAGCAUCUUCUAUACCUUUUAGGUUAAAUAUAGGUUUAAAUUCUUUAGAUCCUAUCCAUGCUCAUGUGAAGCACUAUCCAUGCCCUUGUCAACCAACAACAAUCUUUGAUUAUUAAAAUAUUCAAGUAACAAAAUGCUGUAUAUGUGUAUAAUCAUACAUUUUAAGAAAACGAUUUUAUUGAUAUUAAAUAAGUUACAGAAAUUAUUGCAAGGUGAAGUCAUCUGUCAUGGGCAAAGGUAGAUAACUUCAUUUCAAAAAUUGUUCUACUGCUUAAAAUGACAAUCUUUCCCCUCAGUGCUAACAAGCACUUUGAUUUUAUAACUUUUGAAACUUGUUACUAUGUGAUGAUUAUCUUGUUGACUUUACAUUAUGUUGUUUUAAUUUGCAUUGUUUUUAUUUAAUAAUCAAAGUAAUCUGUAAAAGUUCCAUGUCAAUAUUUGUUGAUAAUGUAAUAAAUUUAU
RNAcentral lists this long non-coding RNA (1996 nucleotides) under Mytilus galloprovincialis (Mediterranean mussel). The record is from RNAcentral. Lineage: Eukaryota; Metazoa; Mollusca; Bivalvia; Mytilida; Mytilidae.